CAGCCGCCACGGUAAUACGUAGGGUGCAAGCGUUAUCCGGAAUUAUUGGGCGUAAAGAGCUCGUAGGCGGUUUGUCGCGUCUGCUGUGAAAACUGGAGGCUCAACCUCCAGCCUGCAGUGGGUACGGGCAGACUAGAGUGCGGUAGGGGAGAUUGGAAUUCCUGGUGUAGCGGUGGAAUGCGCAGAUAUCAGGAGGAACACCGAUGGCGAAGGCAGAUCUCUGGGCCGUAACUGACGCUGAGGCUCGAAAGCGUGGGGAGCAAACAGGAUUAGAUACCCCGGUAGUCCCUGUCUCUUAUAC
This 301-nucleotide ribosomal RNA is filed under the name uncultured bacterium. RNAcentral's name for it is "partial 16S ribosomal RNA". It matches the Rfam family "Bacterial small subunit ribosomal RNA", at positions 509 to 807 of the family's 1533-position model. The record is from RNAcentral.